RNAcentral lists this long non-coding RNA (1054 nucleotides) under Trifolium pratense (red clover). RNAcentral's name for it is "long non-coding RNA (TPRA_LNC009304)". Lineage: Eukaryota; Viridiplantae; Streptophyta; Magnoliopsida; Fabales; Fabaceae. The record is from RNAcentral.
UUUACAAAGAACACAUCAACUUGAUUUUGUUAAUGUUUCUCCUCUCUCCAAUAAUUCAAAGAGGGCAAGUUGUGUUUUCCAUUUUCCUUUUCAACCACUCUACAUGGUAACUUUCAAAAAUACCAAUUUUGCUUCUUUUAUUUUAUUUGACACUUUCCUUUCAUCAGGUACAAGUAUUAACAAUAAGAAAAGACAUUUCCAAAAAAAACAAUGAGAAAAGACAAAAUAGUUUUUUUUGGUACAUAAAAGACAAAAUACUUUAUUUACUCUUUCCUUUUAUAUUUAAUCAAAAUGUUUUUUGGUUUGUCUACUUUCUAUAUGUGAGAGCCUUGUUUCUUUCUCCUUAUGAGAGUUAGUGAGGAAAAUCAACUAUACCACUUUUAAAUGAGUGUUUAUAAGUGGGUUUCUUGUUAAUCUCACUUGUAUACAUUGCUAUUUACUAACUUUUUAAUGUUAGUUGCUUUCAAUCAUUUUAAUCUAACACCUUUAAAAAGUUUCACUAAUAAUUUUACAUCAUUAAUAUCAAAAAAUAAAAUAAUUAUACAUCAUUGAUUAUUACAUUUUAACAAUAACUUGUAUUAUAGUAAAAAAAAACAAUAACUUGUAUUAUCCUACUUAUUAAUCAACAACUACAAUUUUAACAAUAAGCAAGAUAAUAGCUUAUCUUGUUAAAUAUUUGUCAAAGUUAAAUACUCAAUAUAAUAAUAUUUUGUUUAAAAUCUCAAGUUUAAAAUGAGGAAAUGACUAUUUGGUUUGAUAGAAGGUUUGACACAAAGGGUUUUAAUAAUGAAGAUGAAAACAAGAGCUGUAAUUACAUAAUAAUCAAUUUCUUUUUCAUUUUUCGUUUUUGUUUGUGCAACAAUAUAAUUAAUUUGGUUCAGCGGUCAUUGAUGGUGAACUUAAUUCGGAACAUUACUGUUUGAUGCAUUCGUAACUACGAUCGGAAGAAGGUUGCAACUACUUGAUGUUAUAGCUAACUCCCGAACCAGAUUAAACCAUGCAAAUGCAAUUGAGUGAAGGCUGAAACCACUUAAUGACAGACUGAUUCUCCGAC